RNAcentral lists this small RNA (352 nucleotides) under Leclercia adecarboxylata. RNAcentral's name for it is "cspA thermoregulator". It matches the Rfam family "cspA thermoregulator", at positions 28 to 367 of the family's 428-position model. Lineage: Bacteria; Pseudomonadati; Pseudomonadota; Gammaproteobacteria; Enterobacterales; Enterobacteriaceae. The record is from RNAcentral.
CAUUUUCAGUAAAGAAGUCCUGAGUAAACACGUUGUCGUUGAAUACCGCUUCUCUGCCGAACCUUAUAUUAGUGCCUCAUGCAGUAAUGUCUCAGUUUUAUCUCAGUGAAUGCCCACGGGCUAAGAAAACAUUCAAAGGAAUUUUGCAAAUGGCAAAGAUUAAAGGUCAAGUUAAGUGGUUCAACGAGUCUAAAGGUUUUGGUUUCAUUACUCCUGCUGACGGCAGCAAAGAUGUGUUCGUACACUUCUCUGCAAUCCAGGGUAACGGCUUCAAAACUCUGGCUGAAGGCCAGAACGUUGAGUUCGAAAUUCAGGACGGCCAGAAAGGUCCGGCUGCUGUUAACGUAACCGC